AGUUGCCGGGCGCCGUGUUGGUGGAGCGCCAGGGCUGCUAAUGCUCCCCCCACUCUCUUCCUCUUUGGCUCCCUCUGUCUCUUUCUCCAGACACCUUGAGGAAUUCAACAACCCCUCCCCUACACACAGGCUUCUUCCAGAUGCCAUGUUGCAAGAUUUCCUCUGGAGAGGCCCUCUUGGCAAGGAACUGAUGUCUCUGGCCAGCAGCCAGCGAGGACCUAAGAUCUGUCAACAGCCAUGCAGAAGGGACAAUGAAUUGUGACCCGGAAAUUAAUCAGAUGAGACCUGAUGACUGAAGUACAUCACAGAGCUAGGAAGAGAGAUUACUAAGCAACACGGUGAGAGCUCCAUCCUCUGGGUAUUCAGCCAACUACAGAUCACUCAAAGGCAGACAUUCUGGGAUCUUCCAUUUAUCAAGCUGAACCAGAGUACAAGGCCAAAACCAGUGAAUGACAAAGCAACCCCAUGCCCAGCUUGAGUUUCCUCAGAGAGUUUGUCUUGUAGGAGUCAUUAGACACUAAUUUGAUUCUAUUUGCAUGUGAGUACCCUGCCGUUUGCCAAGCAGGGAGAGAAUCACACUUGAGAGCUAGUGCUCAGCUCAGUGUCUUCUCCACACCGUGCUAGUGGACCAAGAACAAGGUUAUAGGUGUGGCAAACAAACAAACAAACCCUGCCAAUGCUCUAAGUAUAUGUUUGAUGUAAUCUUAUUUCUCAUAAAAUUAAGAGAAUAAUAUUUUUAGGUGAUGCAGAGUAUGAGACUGUCAUUAGGUUACUCUGAAUCUCUUUCUCUCUCUUUAUGGUAAAAAUUAAGUUCCAUUAGGAAAAUUCUUCCUCCCCUUCCUUCCUCCCAUUGGUCUUUCCUCCUAAGAUCCAGGUAGCUCUGAGAAAGUUUGUUUCAUCUAUGCGUUGGCCUGGGAAUCCUCCUUUUGUUAAUCUACAGAAAUAAAAUCAUCUUAAAGAUAGAAAGCUUUUGUACAAAAAUGUCCUUCAUAGUGUUUUCUAUAUUAGCAAAAUGUUGUACAAAUAAUACAUAAUCUAACAUCUUAAAAAAGAGGAAAUGGUUAAAUAAAUUAUAGCACAAAAAUUCUGUGAGAUAUAUAGGCGAUGAUUAGAUGACAAUGUCAGGUCAGUUCAAUAAAUACAUGUUCAUUAGUUCCCAUAUGCCAGGUGCUGAAAUAGGCAUCUGUCUUAUAUGUAUACAUAUGUAACAAACCUGCACAUUGUGCACAUGUACCCUAGAACUUAAAGUAUAAUUUAAAAAUAUAUAUAUAUAAAGAAAGAUAAAUAAGACAUGGACCCCUAAAGGAAACUCACUAUUUUCAGAUUAUAAGAGAAAACAUUUGCAUAUAUUAAAUUGUAAAAGAACAAUA
Pongo pygmaeus (Bornean orangutan) is the source of this 1370-nucleotide long non-coding RNA. RefSeq lists it as uncharacterized. Lineage: Eukaryota; Metazoa; Chordata; Mammalia; Primates; Hominidae. The record is from RefSeq and is a predicted model, not a curated record. The transcript has 3 exons.